UCAAAUAAUAUAAAAAAUAAUAUAUAUAUUGACAUGGAUUAAACAAAGAUAUAUAUUAUUUUAUGUUGUAUAAACAAAUUGGCAAAAUAGAGAUGGAAGAUAAAAAUAUGGUCAAAGUAAUAAGAGUCUAUGGUGGAUGCCUAGGAGCUUUAAGGCGAAGAAGGUCGUGGUAAGCUGCGAAAAGCUUGGGGGAGAAGCAAACAUUUAUUGAUCCCAAGAUUACCGAAUGGAGUAAUCCAGCUAGCAAGAUGCUAGCUAUCUAUUAUCUAAAUAAUAGAGGCGAUACC
RNAcentral lists this unclassified non-coding RNA (287 nucleotides) under uncultured Borreliella sp. Its description in RNAcentral is "partial 5S-23S intergenic spacer". The stretch from base 110 to 287 matches the Rfam family "Bacterial large subunit ribosomal RNA", at positions 1 to 186 of the family's 2925-position model. The record is from RNAcentral. Lineage: Bacteria; Pseudomonadati; Spirochaetota; Spirochaetia; Spirochaetales; Borreliaceae.